This 418-nucleotide ribosomal RNA is filed under the name uncultured bacterium. RNAcentral's name for it is "bacterial SSU rRNA". It matches the Rfam family "Bacterial small subunit ribosomal RNA", at positions 355 to 773 of the family's 1533-position model. The record is from RNAcentral.
UGGGGAAUCUUGCGCAAUGGUCUAACGACUGACGCAGCGACGCCGCGUGUGGGAGGACGCCUUUCGGGGUGUAAACCACUGUUGCCCGGGACGAACACCUCUUUUCGAAGAGGCUGACGGUACCGGGUGAGGAAGCACCGGCUAACUCCGUGCCAGCAGCCGCGGUAAUACGGAGGGUGCGAGCGUUGUCCGGAAUCAUUGGGCGUAAAGGGCGCGUAGGUGGCGACCCAAGUCCGUGGUGAAAGCUCGCCGCUUAACGGCGAGUCGGCCACGGAGACUGGGUGGCUCGAGCACUGUAGGGGCAGAUGGAAUUCCGGGUGUAGCGGUGGAAUGCGUAGAGAUCCGGAAGAACACCAGUGGCGAAGGCGGUCUGCUGGGCAGUUGCUGACACUGAGGCGCGACAGCGUGGGGAGCAAAC